Molecule: long non-coding RNA, 635 nt
Organism: Erinaceus europaeus (western European hedgehog)
Lineage: Eukaryota; Metazoa; Chordata; Mammalia; Eulipotyphla; Erinaceidae
Exons: 4
Source: RefSeq, a predicted model, not a curated record
GUCUUUCUACUCACUUGCUGCGCUUAUUGAGUCACUAUAGACUACUGCACCCUUUAACUCUAAGGAAGAGAUAAUCUAUGAGCUUGACUUUUGCAUCUGUAAAAUGGGCUGCUUAUCUCAAAGCAUCAUGAGGAUCAAACAAGAGCAUCCACAGAGCUUCUAGACACUGACACUCUAUGCAAAUUAGGAGAGGAACAGCAUUGUCACGUGUUGCUUUAAUUAAGAAAAAUUCCAUGAGGACAUUGAAGAGAGGCUGAAAUGCAUGAAGAAGGAGCAAACCACAUCUAAAAUAAAUUAAAGACAGGAGCCAUGUUCAAUCCAUGUGUUUAAAGCAGAUGGAAUAUGGAACAGCUGGGCAAGUUCAAAGAAGCGGUCAUGAAAAUUGAGGGGCUGGGUGGUGGCACACCUGACUGAGCACACAAGUUACAAUGCACAAGGACCCAGGUUCAAGCCUCCAAUCCCCACCUGCAGGGGGAAAGCUUUAAGAGUGGUGAAGCAGUGUUGCAGGUGUCUCUGUCUCUCUCCCUCCCCUUACCCUUUCGAUUUCUGGCUGUCUCUAUCCAAUACAUAAAUGAAUAAAGAUCAAUAAAAAAUUAAAAUAAAAUAAUAAAAGCAGUCAAACCUAGAGAAAAAAG